CUUUAGAAGCAGUUCAAGGCGAAGAACCUCCAAGGUCUUUAGAAGAGCCAGUGGGAGUAGUUCCUCAAAGCGUUGUUCACUAGAGGAAAAAUCCUUAUAAGUUUCUCAUUAAAGGUUGCCCUUAUCACACAAGAGCAACCUUUGAUGAUUGAAAAAAUAAAUUAAUUAAAUCAUUUAAUUAAUUCCCUCCAAAAUAAACAGCGAAAAAUUUCCUUAAGGCACCUUCACCGUACUUCAUUCCUCCCUCUGCUCCUUCACCGUAAUUCAUCACAUCGCUGGCGCCGCUCCCUCCUCCCUCUCCUCCUUCACCGUCGCUGGCCGCUGCUCCCUCCUCCAUCUCCUCCUUCACUGUCGCUUGCCGCUGCUCCCUCCUCCCUCUGCUCCUUCACCGUCUAACCGUCUUUUUGUUGCAAAUUCGCCUGGCCAAAUUGUUUUCUUCCUACCACUACAGCUCUAAACAGAAGUAGAGGCAAAAGCAGAAGAAGCUUAAUCAAUGGAUAGUUGCUUCAGGACUUCAAUUUGCCGCCAAAUGCGCCGGAAGAUGCUCGUGUUCGGUGGCGGAAAGCCGUCGGAUCACUCAUUCUCAAUCGCCGUCGUCGUUUCCGUUAUGUUACUAAUCUUAAAAAACGCUCUCAAGAUGCCAAAACUCUUCAGGUGUUCAUGUUUCUUGCUGGAGAUUUUGAUCUCGAUAAUGCUGGAGGUUUGAUGAGAUGGUUGCUGGUUGCUGAAAGACGUGCAUUUGACUACUUGUGCAUUUGACUACUUGAUCAUAAGUUGUACUCGGGUGUUGUUUCAGUUAUUCAGUUCCACUUCUUGGUCUUGUACAUUUUGAUCUUUUCAUCCGGGUAGCUCAUUCAGAAUUAGGUGAAUUUAUCCUUUCUUAUUGGACUAGGUACUUCAAUUUGACUGUUGAUGUUUUAAUUCAUGGAAAUUCUCUCUU
This is a long non-coding RNA of Spinacia oleracea (spinach), 940 nucleotides long. RefSeq lists it as uncharacterized. The transcript has 2 exons. NCBI's taxonomy places the organism in Eukaryota, Viridiplantae, Streptophyta, Magnoliopsida, Caryophyllales, Amaranthaceae. The record is from RefSeq and is a predicted model, not a curated record.